Molecule: ribosomal RNA, 333 nt
Filed under: Triticum aestivum (bread wheat)
Lineage: Eukaryota; Viridiplantae; Streptophyta; Magnoliopsida; Poales; Poaceae
Description: partial small subunit ribosomal RNA
Source: RNAcentral
AUGCCGGAGGGGUCGAUCCCUAAGGAGGCGGCGUACCAGAUCAUCAGCGACGAGCUGAUGCUGGACGGGAACCCGCGGCUGAACCUGGCGUCCUUCGUCACCACCUGGAUGGAGCCCGAGUGCGGCAAGCUCAUGAUGGAAUCCGUCAACAAGAACUACAUCGACAUGCACGAGUACCCAGUCACCACCGAGCUCCAGGAAGGCAAGUUGUUGCAUCUAGAGCACAUCAGAGGGAACAAUGAAGUUUGUAGUUUGUACUACUUGGUUCUUACCAUUAGGACAGUACCAGAUGUGCUAAUACAUGCUGCUUUAAAUGUUGUAUUCCUGAUGUAG